Molecule: long non-coding RNA, 228 nt
Filed under: Oryza sativa aromatic subgroup
Lineage: Eukaryota; Viridiplantae; Streptophyta; Magnoliopsida; Poales; Poaceae
Description: lncRNA OsARC_05g0002250
Source: RNAcentral
CGACUCCCGCCGUCGUCGCUGUCGUUCCGGUGGAAGACGAAGAAGUACCGUCUGUGGCGAGUCCCGGAGCAGGUGCGCGCCAUCAACAAGGAGGAGGCGUACGCGCCCAAAUUCGUGUCCGUCGGCCCGUACCAUCGUCGUCACGCCGGCGCCGGCGAUCGCAACCGCCUCCGCGGCGAGAAGCUCAAGAGGCGCUACCUCCACGAGCUCCUCAGGGACCUAAGGUGA